AGGAUUAUAAUUUAACACAAAAUUUUUAAAUUGCAAUUAAAUCAUGUUACUAACUUUAACUAAUCUUA
This 68-nucleotide transfer RNA is filed under the name Ylodes simulans. RNAcentral's name for it is "tRNA-Ala". Lineage: Eukaryota; Metazoa; Arthropoda; Insecta; Trichoptera; Leptoceridae. The record is from RNAcentral.